Molecule: ribosomal RNA, 451 nt
Filed under: uncultured bacterium
Lineage: Bacteria
Description: bacterial SSU rRNA
Rfam family: Bacterial small subunit ribosomal RNA
Source: RNAcentral
GGUGCGCCUUAUGCAUGCAAGUCGAGCGAAGCUUUUCAGUAGUUUACUACAGAAAAUGACUGAGCGGCGAACGGGUGAGUAACGCGUGAGCAACCUACCUUAGUUACUGGGAUAGCCCGAGGAAACUCGGAUUAAUACCGGAUAUUCUUAUUUAAUCACAUGAUUUUUUAAGGAAAGGUCAGCCGAACUAAGAUGGGCUCGCGUUCUAUCAGCUAGUUGGUAGGGUAACGGCCUACCAAGGCUACGACGGAUAGCUGGUCUGAGAGGACGAUCAGCCACACUGGGACUGAGACACGGCCCAGACUCCUACGGGAGGCUGCAGCAGGGAAUAUUGUGCAAUGAACGAAAGUUUGACACAGCGACACCGCGUGUGGGAUGACGGAUCUAGGUUUGUAAACCACUUUCAGGAGGGAAGAAAAUGACGGUACCUCCACAAGAAGCCCCGGCCAAU